This 460-nucleotide long non-coding RNA is filed under the name Struthio camelus australis. RNAcentral describes it as "lncRNA (ENSSCUG00000014882.1)". The record is from RNAcentral. Lineage: Eukaryota; Metazoa; Chordata; Aves; Struthioniformes; Struthionidae.
AGACUUUGUAUAGGAUAAAGAGGAUAGAAUCUUACUCUCUCUUUCAUAUUUUGCCCCUCCCUCUUUCAAUACACAACCUUCAUUUCUAGCAACCUCAGGCCAACCCCAUUCUAGCACUGGCAGACACCAUCCUGCUCCUUGUCUGUUCGGCUCGUACUCCCUACCAAAAAUCCUACCGUUUACUCUGCAGCAAGCCGUCUGUCACCAGUUUCUUCCUUGUAUCCAUCCAACCUUCUUCUUCAACUGCUUUCCUCAGAUCUUGAGGCAUGAACUUGGAAGUGAAUCUCCCCUCCGCUUACUGGCUUGUAUUUUACAUUGAAGAACGUAAACUGAAAGCUGUCCUCCAGGCAUGCAUCUGUGUGCCCCGAUAGUUAAUGAAUGCCAAGUCCAUGGAACCAGACUACAGAUUGAUUGAGGUAAAAUCACUGAACUGCAUACGUGUAUCAUGCAGACGUUGUGU